RNAcentral lists this ribosomal RNA (477 nucleotides) under Clarkus sp. GSb17. RNAcentral describes it as "SSU rRNA". It matches the Rfam family "Eukaryotic small subunit ribosomal RNA", at positions 1169 to 1653 of the family's 1831-position model. Lineage: Eukaryota; Metazoa; Nematoda; Enoplea; Mononchida; Mononchidae. The record is from RNAcentral.
GCCGGACUUGACAAGGAGUGGAGCCUGCAGUUUAAUUUGACUCAACACGGGAAAACUCACCCGGCCAGGACACAAUAAGGAUUGACAGAUUGAUAGCUCUUUCUUGAUUUUGUGGGUGGUGGUGCAUGGCCGUUCUUAGUUGGUGGAGCGAUUUGUCUGGUUAAUUCCGAUAACGAACGAGACUCUAGCCUAUUAAAUAGACUGUAUAUCAUUAGUAUAUCGAGCUUCUUAGAGGGACAGGCAGCUUCUAGCUGCACGAGAUUGAGCAAUAACAGGUCUGUGAUGCCCUUAGAUGUCCGGGGCUGCACGCGCGCUACAAUGAUAAUAGCAAAGUGCAUUAAAACCUUUUCUGGUAAGAAUUGGUAAACACGAAACAUUGUCGUGCUUGGAAUCGGGGAUUGAAAUUAUUGCCCUUAAACGAGGAAUUCCUAGUAAGUGCAGGUCAUCAGCUUGUGCUGAUUACGUCCCUGCCCCUUU